RNAcentral lists this ribosomal RNA (467 nucleotides) under uncultured forest soil bacterium. RNAcentral's name for it is "bacterial SSU rRNA". It matches the Rfam family "Bacterial small subunit ribosomal RNA", at positions 8 to 502 of the family's 1533-position model. The record is from RNAcentral.
AGAGUUUGAUCAUGGCUCAGAGCGAACGCUGGCGGCGUGCUUAACACAUGCAAGUCGAGUGGGCGUCUGUAGCAAUACAGAUGGGGCAGGGGCACGGGUGAGUAACACAUGGGCAACCUGCCCUUGGACUGGGGAUAACUCGCCGAAAGGCGAGCUAAUACCGCAUGAUAUUCAGAAGACCUCGGUCUUUUGAUUCAAAGCCCGCAAGGCGCUCUAAGGAGGGCCCGCGCCCGAUAGUAGUUGGUGAGGAACGGUCCCAAGGCUUUGAUCGGUAGCCGGUUGAGAGGUGCCCGGCCACACUGGAACUAGACCGGUCAGACUCCUACGAGCAGCAUGAAUAUGCGCAAGGGCGAAAGCCUGACGCAGCGACGCCGCGUGGGGGGAAGCUUCUCGUGAGGUAAACCCCUUUCGACCCGGACGAAUGAUCCGCAAGGGUUGACGGUAGGGUUAAGAAGCCGGCAAUAACG